CAUCUUGUGAUCAGUCUCGGAGAACACGCUCUUCUGAGUUGGCCCUGCCAAAAAUCUAUCUCUCUCUUCAUCUGCUUGCCAUUAGUCAUUAGCCAAAGAACACUGAGCAGCACUCAAGUGUGACGUCCACACAACCUUUUCUUCUUGUUUGUUGAGCGGCAUCUUGCCUCUGUACACAGUGUCUCCAAUUAGCUGGCCCAAUAGCCAACUCUUGGAACGACCUCCUACGAAACCACAAAGAGAUGUAAUCACAUUGCGUACGCCUCAGACGCUCAACAGUUAGCUUCUAGAGUGGUACAUGAGAUUCAGGGUCAUCAUCCCAACUCAUCUUUCAGGGAGUAAAGGAUUCCCAGACAGAGAUUUGCUGCCAGUUUUCCAUCGCUAUGAAGACCCUUUUCCUUCUCUUGAUUGUGGUCUUCCUGGUGUUUUUUCCUGAUGGAGGAUCCAGCAUGGCAAACAAUAGGAAAAAAUGUAAACGUGAAGGAGGCUUCUGCAUUCAGCCAAAGGGGAAUGUGUGUCUCUACCCUUCAAGGUUUAUCGGAAGCUGCAAUCAUGAACAACUCUGCUGUAAAAAAGGCAUCCAGCUUGCAAAGAAACAAGGCUAAUGACUCAACCAUGAAAAAGAAGACUUUCAGCAGCCACCUUCAUUCCAGUUUUCACUGCAAUUGCGAUCUUCUCUUCAUGCUCUUAAUGAUACUUCGAAGCAAAAAUGGAUCACAGAAAACAUUCUUAUGAGAAAUUCUGCAUUUAAUAAAAGCGAAUC
This is a non-coding RNA of Pogona vitticeps (central bearded dragon), 763 nucleotides long. The record is from RefSeq and is a predicted model, not a curated record. Lineage: Eukaryota; Metazoa; Chordata; Lepidosauria; Squamata; Agamidae.